This 430-nucleotide ribosomal RNA is filed under the name Pseudomonadota bacterium. RNAcentral's name for it is "Proteobacteria bacterium partial 16S ribosomal RNA". It matches the Rfam family "Bacterial small subunit ribosomal RNA", at positions 355 to 776 of the family's 1533-position model. Lineage: Bacteria; Pseudomonadati; Pseudomonadota. The record is from RNAcentral.
UGGGGAAUAUUGGACAAUGGGCGAAAGCCUGAUCCAGCCAUGCCGCGUGUGUGAAGAAGGCCUUAUGGUUGUAAAGCACUUUAAGCGAGGAGGAGGGUACUGGUAUUAAUACUACCAGGUACUGGACGUUACUCGCAGAAUAAGCACCGGCUAACUCUGUGCCAGCAGCCGCGGUAAUACAGAGGGUGCGAGCGUUAAUCGGGUUUACUGGGCGUAAAGCGUGCGUAGGCGGCUAAUUGAGUCGGAUGUGAAAUCCCCGAGCUUAACUUGGGAAUUGCAUUCGAUACUGGUUAGCUAGAGUGUGGGAGAGGAUGGUAGAAUUCCAGGUGUAGCGGUGAAAUGCGUAGAGAACUGGAGGAAUACCGAUGGCGAAGGCAGCCAUCUGGCCAAACACUGACGCUGAGGUACGAAAGCAUGGGGAGCAAACAGG